UUGACUUCAACUCAGGAAAGAACACUCGCUGAGUUUAAGCAUAUAAUUAAGCGGAGGAAAAGAAACUUACAAGGAUUCCCCUAGUAGCGGUGAGCGAACCAAGAAGAGCCCAGCAUGAAAGUUGGGCGGCAGCAUCACCUGAAUUGUAGUUUGUAGAAGCGUCCUCAGCAGUGGACCUGGGCCAAGUCCCUUGGAAGGGGGCACCUCAGAGGGUGAUAGCCCCAUUGGGCUGGGACCUUGACGCAUCACGAGGCAUUGUCAGAAAGUUGGGUUGUUUGGGGAUGCAGCCCUAAUUAGGUGGUAAAUUCCACCAAAGGCUAAAUACGGGUGAGAGACCGAUAGCGAACAAGUACCACGAGCGAAAGAUGAAAAGGACUUUGAAAAGAGAGUUAAAGAGUGCUUGAAAUUGCCGGGAGGGAAGUGGAUGGAGGCUGUCAAUGAGUCUCAGUCAGAUGUGGAAUGGCUCAGGCUGGUCUGCCACUCGACUUGAGGUGCAAACCGACACGGGUUGCUGCAUCGUCACAAGUGCGGGUGGAAUACUGUCUGUCGGUUUAUCGUUGUGGUGGUUGAGGAAUGAAGCGUGCACCCUUGUGGCGGGUCGUGUGCACCUGCAUGCUUGUGGUGUUUGUUGGCAGGCUUUCUAUUCGACCCUUCUUGAAACACGGACUAAGGAGUCUAACAUGUGUGUGAGUUGGCAGGUUUGAAAACCUGUGAGGCACAAGGAAGCUGACGGGAAAGAUCCCCUCUUUGGGGGGUGCAUCAUCAACUGACCUUGAGCUUAUGCGAAGGGUUCGAGUGCAAGCACACCUGUUGGGACCCGAAAGAUGGUGAACUAUGCCUGAGUAGGGCGAAGCCAAAGGAAACUUUGGUGGAGGCUCGUAGCGAUACUGAUGUGCAAAUCGUUCAUCCGACUUGGGUAUAGGGGAGAAAGACUAAUCGAACCAUCUAGUAGCUAGUUUCCUCUUAAUUUUCCCUCAGGAUAGCUGGAGCUCACACGCGAGUUUUAUCGGCUAAAGAAAAUGAAUAUAGGCAUCGGGGGUGUAAUUCCGUCGACCUAUUCUCAAACUUUAAAUAGGUAAGAGGGUGCGGUUGCUCCAUUGAGCAGUGCCGUGGAAUCGAGAGCUCCAAGUGGGCCAUUUUUGGUAAGCAGAACUGGCGAUGUGGGAUGAACCAAAAGUCGAGUUAUGGUGCCGAAUUGUGUGCUAACCUAGAUCCCACAAAGGGUGUUGGUUGAUUAAGACAGCAGGACAGUGGUCAUGGAAGUUGAAAUCCGCUAAGGAGUGUGUAACAACUCACCAGCCAAAUCAACUAGCCCUGAAAAUGGAUGGCGCUGAAGCACGCAACCUAUACUCAACCAUCGGAGCAAUUGCCUAGCUUCGAUGAGUAAGAGGACGCGGGGGUUGUUGAGAAGCCUCGCGCAUGAGCUUGGGUGGAUCGGCCCCCGGUGCAAAUCUUGGUGGUAGUAGCAAAUAUUCAAAUGAGAACUUUGAAGACUGAAGUGGGGAAAGGUUCCAUGUGAACAACACUUGGACAUGGGUUAGUCAAUCUUGAGAGAUGGGGAAGCCUUGUAUCAAGGGUGCACUUUGCACGAGCAUCGAAAGGGAAUGGGGUUAAUAUUCCUGAACAGGGACAUGGCGGCGGGUGGCAAUGUUAGGAAAUACGGAUAUGUUGUCGAGGGCCCCGGGAAGAGUUAUAUUUUCUUUUUAAUAGCUUUCCCACCCUAGAAUCGGUUCACCCAGAGAUAGGGUCCAGUAGCUGGAAGAGCACCGCACAUCUUGUGGUGUCUAGUGCGCCCUCGGCGGCCCUUGAAAAUCUAGAGGACUGAGUACUGUUCAUGCUCAUAACCGCAUCAGGUCUCCAAGGUGAACAACCUCUGGUCAAUAGAACAAUGUAGGUAAGGGAAGUCAGCAAAACGGAUCCGUAACUUUAGGAAAAGGAUUGGCUUUGAGGGUUGGGCCUAGGGGUCUACACCCUCAACUCGUGGGCUAUCCGCAGUCUGACCGAGCUGCUCUCGUGGCGAGGGUGAGCAGUCACGUGCUAAUUGGGCUAUGGGUGUAGAAUGCCCCCUGUUGGGGGCUUUUCCCUAGACGUCGAACAAUCGACUUAGAACUGGUAUGGACAAGGGGAAUCUGACUAUUUAAUUAAAACAAAGCAUUGCGAUGGUCCCUAUGGAUGCUGACCUAAUGUGAUUUCUACCCAGUUCUUUGAAUGUCAAAGUGAAGAAAUUCAACCAAGCGCGGGUAAAUGGCGGGAGUAACUAUGACUCUCUCAAGGUAGCCAAAUGCCUCGUCAUCUAAUUAUUGGCGCACCUGAAUGGAUUAACGAGAUUCCCACUAUAUCUACUAUCUAGUGAAACCAAAACCAAGUAAAUGGGCUUGGCAGAAUCGACAAGGAAAGAAGACCAUGUUGAGCUUGACUCUAGUUCGACUUUGUGAAAUGACUUGAGAGGUGUAGAAUAAGUGGGAGCCAUUUUCGGCGCAGGUGAAAUACCACUACUUUUAGUGUUAUUUUACUUAUUACGUGGGGCAGAGAUGGGGCACUGCCCCUAUUUUUCGCCUUAAGGUACAUUUCGGCGGGUCAAUCCAUGCGGAAGACUUGUCAGGUGGGGAGUUUAGCUGGGGCAGCACAUCUGUUAAAAUAUAAUGCAGGUGUCCUAGGAUGAGCUCAACGAGAAUAGAAAUCUCAUGUGGAACAAAAGGGUAAAAGCUCAUUGGAUUUUCAUUUUCAGUACGAAUACAAACUGUGAAAGCGUGGCCUAUCGAUCCUUUUGAUUUUUGGAAUUUGAAGCUAGAGGUGUCAGAAAAGUUACCACAGGGAUAACUGGCUUGUGGCAGCCAAGCGUUCACAGCGAUGUUGCUUUUUGAUCCUUCGAUGUUGGCUCUUCCUAUCAUUGUGAAGAAGAAUUCACUAAGUGUUGGAUUGUUCACCCACCAAUAGGGAAUGUGCGCUGGGUUUAGACCAUCGUGAGACAGGUUAGUUUUACCCUACUGAUGAACCGCACCACAAUAGUAAUUCAAUUUAGUAUAAGAGGAACCGUUGAUUCACACAAUUGGUCAUCGCACUUGGUUGAAAAGCCAGUGGUGUGAAGCUACCGUGUGUUGGAUUAUGACUGAACGCCUCUAAGUCAGAAUCCAUGCUAGAAGCGGUGCAUGUCACUCUUCGACUAUAUCUCGACCCGCAGUAGGGGCGUCGCUUUGUCGCCGCCAGGGGCCUGUGUCAUUUGAAAACCGUGACCGUGAAGCAUCUUGGUUAGGGAAGCAUUGAAAUUCAAUUCCAAACUGUCUUUGAGAAGAAU
This 3295-nucleotide ribosomal RNA is filed under the name Pinus taeda (loblolly pine). Its description in RNAcentral is "eukaryotic LSU rRNA". It matches the Rfam family "Eukaryotic large subunit ribosomal RNA". Lineage: Eukaryota; Viridiplantae; Streptophyta; Pinopsida; Pinales; Pinaceae. The record is from RNAcentral.